RNAcentral lists this unclassified non-coding RNA (177 nucleotides) under uncultured fungus. RNAcentral's name for it is "sequence contains ITS1, 5.8S rRNA gene". Lineage: Eukaryota; Fungi. The record is from RNAcentral.
GUAUUUUGAAUUAUUUUAUUCGUAAUAUUUUUCAGACAAAGAGUUAAAGAGUUGGUUGAUGUUUGGUCGUUCCCAUAGAAGAGAACGACUGACAUUGCACACAAGGUGGAUAUGGAUUUAAAAAGCGCCAUAAAACGCUUAUUGUGAAUGAUCCUUCCGCAGGUUCACCUACGGAAA